UACGUAGGGUGCAAGCGUUGUCCGGAAUUACUGGGCGUAAAGGGCGCGUAGGCGGCCUGCUAAGUCGAACGUGAAAUCCCUGGGCUCAACCCAGGAACUGCGUCCGAUACUGGUUGGCUUGAAUCCGGGAGAGGGAUGCGGAAUUCCAGGUGUAGCGGUGAAAUGCGUAGAUAUCUGAAGGAACACCGGUGGCGAAGGCGGCAUCCUGGACCGGCAUUGACGCUGAGGCGCGAAAGCCAGGGGAGCAAACGGG
This 253-nucleotide ribosomal RNA is filed under the name uncultured bacterium. RNAcentral's name for it is "partial 16S ribosomal RNA". It matches the Rfam family "Bacterial small subunit ribosomal RNA", at positions 524 to 776 of the family's 1533-position model. The record is from RNAcentral.